Molecule: long non-coding RNA, 1157 nt
Filed under: Nicotiana tabacum (common tobacco)
Lineage: Eukaryota; Viridiplantae; Streptophyta; Magnoliopsida; Solanales; Solanaceae
Description: long non-coding RNA (NTAB_LNC001274)
Source: RNAcentral
UACCAAUCUAUGGAGAACAACCGAGCAACGGCAGCAGGUGCAGACUCAAGAUCAGCAAGCUUUUCAAAUAAUGGAACAACCCUCAAUGGACUUUUUACAUGACAUUCACGCUGCAAAAGCUCAACGGCAAGCACAUCAGAGGGUGCCGUGGCCAUUGAAAUAAUAUAAGCACCAAAAUUAUCGGCGGGAAGUUCAGCAAUGACACUAAAGGUAUCCAAAACAUCAGCGAUUUCAUCAGUUUUAGGGAGAUCAGGUCCAAACAGUGGACGCUUUCCACUUAGUUCAGAUAAGAGCCAUUCUUGUCUCUGCUCUUCAGACCAUUCUUUAUAGGAUCCAAUACCCAGGUGCCUUGUUAUAGCAUCUAGAACGUCAGUGUGCCUAUCUGACUCUUGCCGGAUAUCAAGUCUCACAAGCGAGAGACCAAAGGUGGAAACUUGCCUUAGAAAAUCAAGAAGGCUGCCAUCUGCAAUUGGUCUGUCACCGCAAGCGCAUAGAGAUCUGUAGCACAGCUCCAGAGGUUCCAGGAACUGCAGGACAAGGACAACCAUAUUUUUCACAUAUUCAAAUGAUAGAGAAAUAGGCAUGCAUAUUAGCAGAUCUGAAUACCAAGAAUUAUGUCUAAACAUCUAAGAAAUGAGAACCAUGCUAUUUUGGUUAAUUCUAACAAAAUCGCAAAAUAACCUGUAGGACUUGGCUCACAAAUUCGGUGUUGUAGCAUAUGCUAGAACUUUGUCUUAAAAGCAAGAUGAAUAUUGUCAAACAACAAUUUCAAAAGUUCGCUUGAUUUCAUUUGCGUAUUAUCUUACAGAAAACAUUUAGCGCACAAAUUGUCUCAGUUUGAUACUUAGACAGCCAAAUCCACCUUCAAUUAAAAAUACUAAAAGUCACACAUAGAAAGUAUCAUUGACACACAUAUUGGAAAUAGAUAGGAUAUUUCUUCAGCAUUGGUAAAUUUGGAAGUUGAGCUAACAAGUUCUACAUUAUUGCAGAAGAGGUGGUCAGAAAUAAAAAGAGUUUCUGAAAAAUACCUGUUCAACAUUUGUGAAUGUUGACUCCUCAGAAACAUCAGAGUACCCAUUGGUUAGUAACUGACGCGCGCGUUCCCGUGUAUUGUAUAACUUAUCUCUCACAUCAGCAAGAAGAACACGGUAGGGCUC